RNAcentral lists this ribosomal RNA (466 nucleotides) under Vreelandella stevensii. Its description in RNAcentral is "partial 16S ribosomal RNA". It matches the Rfam family "Bacterial small subunit ribosomal RNA", at positions 338 to 795 of the family's 1533-position model. The record is from RNAcentral. Lineage: Bacteria; Pseudomonadati; Pseudomonadota; Gammaproteobacteria; Oceanospirillales; Halomonadaceae.
CCUACGGGGGGCAGCAGUGGGGAAUAUUGGACAAUGGGCGAAAGCCUGAUCCAGCCAUGCCGCGUGUGUGAAGAAGGCCUUCGGGUUGUAAAGCACUUUCAGUGGGGAAGAAAGCCUUGGGGCUAAUACCCUCGAGGAAGGACAUCACCCACAGAAGAAGCACCGGCUGAACUCCGUGCCAGCAGCCGCGGUAAUACGGAGGGUGCGAGCGUUAAUCGGAAUUACUGGGCGUAAAGCGCGCGUAGGCGGUUUGAUAAGCCGGUUGUGAAAGCCCCGGGCUCAACCUGGGAACGGCAUCCGGAACUGGCAAGCUAGAGUGCAGGAGAGGAAGGUAGAAUUCCCGGUGUAGCGGUGAAAUGCGUAGAGAUCGGGAGGAAUACCAGUGGCGAAGGCGGCCAUCUGGACUGACACUGACGCUGAGGUGCGAAAGCGUGGGUAGCAAACAGGAUUAGAUACCCCAGUAGUC